Molecule: long non-coding RNA, 512 nt
Organism: Chinchilla lanigera (long-tailed chinchilla)
Lineage: Eukaryota; Metazoa; Chordata; Mammalia; Rodentia; Chinchillidae
Source: Ensembl
GAAAAAUAGCUUUCAAGAGAACAGAGAUCCUAGCAUGGCCAUGGGGUAGCAGGAAAACCUGAGAACACUGAAUGAAUCAAGGUGAGACUUGACCAUGUGGACCUAGAAAGAAUGAGGUGGCAGAGGCCCAGAAAAGUCUGGUUUUGUCCAAUAUAACGCAGAACUUGAACUGCAGACUUUUUUCUUGUACCCCAAUGGACCGGGAAAUAAAUAAGCAGUGACUGGACUUGCCACAUGUCAACUGAAGGCAAACAGGCUAAAUAGAAGAAUCUUAUGUGUUCUUUAUUUGAAUGUACCAGCCUGAACAUAUCUUUGUUUAGCAUCUAAGGCUUCAGAAUCAAGAUUGCAUCUGGAUUGAAGAUAUUUUAUGUCUGAAGAUUUUGUCCUCUUUGAUCCCAUUUCUUUUGCAAGGAAUUGUCUACUCCACUUACUGGUGGAGGUCCAGGGGUUUCCUUUUCUGGAAUACAGAAAUGUAAGAAAUCCAGAUGAUAAAGGCUGUGUGCACUACCACG